This 513-nucleotide ribosomal RNA is filed under the name uncultured bacterium. Its description in RNAcentral is "partial 16S ribosomal RNA". It matches the Rfam family "Bacterial small subunit ribosomal RNA", at positions 28 to 507 of the family's 1533-position model. The record is from RNAcentral.
GACGAACGCUGGCGGCGUGCUUAACACAUGCAAGUCGAACGAAAAGAGGGAAAGAGCUUGCUCUUUCCGGAAUUGAGUGGCAAACGGGUGAGUAACACGUAAACAACCUGCCUUCAGGAUGGGGACAACAGACGGAAACGACUGCUAAUACCGAAUAAGUUCCAAGGGCCGCAUGGCCCAUGGAAGAAAAGGUGGCCUCUACCUGUAAGCUAUCGCCUGAAGAGGGGUUUGCGUCUGAUUAGCUGGUUGGAGGGGUAACGGCCCACCAAGGCGAAGAUCAGUAGCCGGUCUGGGAGGAUGAACGGCCACACUGGGACUGGGACACGGUCCAGACUCCUACGGGAGGCAGCAGGGGGGAAUCUUCCGCAAUGGGCGAAAGCCUGACGGAGCAACGCCGCGUGAGUGAUGAAGGCCUUCGGGUUGUAAAACUCUGUGAUCCGGGACGAAAAGGCAGAGUGCGAAGAACAAACUGCAUUGACGGUACCGGAAAAGCAAGCCACGGCUAACUACGUG